This 3889-nucleotide long non-coding RNA is filed under the name Homo sapiens (human). Its description in RNAcentral is "HSALNT0061162". Lineage: Eukaryota; Metazoa; Chordata; Mammalia; Primates; Hominidae. The record is from RNAcentral.
UAACGUCAGCAGAAAGACUUUUUCUGCCGUGGUUCGUUCACAAGGCGCGACUGUAGGCAGAGGCUCCCUGUUCUGAAGCUGGCUGUCAGCACUCCCCCAACUGCCGUCUCAAGCAGAGAAAGCAAGGGAGGGAAGCUUCCAGGACCAAGCCCUGGUGGGCAGGUAGCAGCCCACCUCCAGUGAGACGGAGAAGUUGGCCGGGGCCAGCAAUGAAGGACCAGCCUGUCUCCUCCCCGAGAACUGAAAGGCAAAAGGCACCCAAGGCUGGGAAGAGAGCAGCAGCCUCACCAAGUAAGGAAGACAAAAUGAAGCAAUCAGUGAGGGUUUCCUGGGUCUACACAGGGAUUGAAGGAGAAACUGCUGCUGCACAGGCUGUUUGCCGCACAGGCUUGGUGCUGAGCUGUGAAAAGCAUGUUCUGGGAUCUUGUCACUUCGCGGAGGUGGCCUGUGCAGCAUGAGGCAAAGACCUGGCCUGUUUAGUCAGGAAGAACUGGGUUGGAGCCUGGUGUCCUCUUUAACAGCUAUGUAACCUUGGGCAAAAUACCCAUUCAAAUUUCAGUGUUCUCCUCUAUAAAACAGAAAUACGUGCGUGUAUCAGAAUUAUUAAAAUAAUUAAAUUUUCUAAUUUUUAAGUGCCCAGUGACACUUCUGGGUGAUGCGAGUGCUGCGCAGCUCAGAACCCUUGGAAGCAUGAGAGGAGGACGAGCCCGGCGGCCUGCCGGUGCGGUGAUGGAGGGCUCUUCGGUAGCCACACUGCGCGCCUCCCACACACACCUUAACAGUCUUGGGGCCCCGGGCCAGCGCUGCAGCCCAAAGAGACCCUGCAGCCGCAUUUUCUCCCAGGCCGUGGCAAACCCUGGCUUCGCCUCCCUUCACCAUGGCUUGUGAGGGCAGGAGGCUCCCGGGGGCCGACUUCCCUGACCUGAAUGAGUCAGGCACCCUUCUUUAUUUUAAGUGGGGGUGUGACCUGAGGAGAUAAAGGAAGGACGACAGACCUGGGGAGUGGGGCCCUGCAGCCUCUUGGGCCCGGAGCGCACUCCUUCUCGCUCCCUCCCCUCACCGGCAGGAUCGGGGGUCUUGAAACUGGAGCCGCUCACCGGCCGGCGGAUGAGAGAUAAAGGAGCCCGGCGGCGCCGAAGCGCUGACCAGCAGACCCGGAUCCGGACUUUCCCGCGCUCCAGAGCAGCACCCGAAACCCUACUUCCCAGGUGGCACCGACGGCUGAGCAGCUCCUCCGGUGCCAUACGGUGUCUCCAGGCACAGACAGUCGUGCUCGCGUGUGUACUGUGCACGCACAAGACUGCAGGAUGAUGUCCUGUAUGAGCCCUGUAUUAGCCCCUUUGCUCUCAGCCAGAGGUACACGCAUACGUGUGUGCAUUUGUCAAGUGUCUAGGGACAGGUGUGCACCUUCACACAUACGUGAUGUGUAUGUGCACACAUUUGUAGAACGUUCUAGCAUCUAUCCUACAGGCACGUACAGGGCUGGCUGCUUCUAAUAAGUCAUCAUUACACCUCGCAUUUACACAGGCCUUUUCAGUUCUGGCAUGAUUUUCAGAAUCACCCCGGGAAAUACUCUCCUUUCAAAGUUUACAGAUGAGGAAACAAGCAAAAAGAAUCUAAUGGGUACCCGUUUGCACACACUGUGAGAGAGAUCGAGGCCAGCCAAAGAUCCCGCCCACUGUUGAACUUGGGUGUGUUGGCCGAAUGUGCUCAUAGAUGGGUCUGUUUAGCGCCCCAGGCGACCUCAGGUCCGGCGGGCCUUGGCUCUUCGCCAGGCUUCCUGGGAGACCCACUGCGCCGGGUGUGGGGUCUCAAUUCCUGUGCUGAUAAGCACUAUCUUCUGGAGCUGGGUGACCCUAGUGCCCAGGGCGGGAAGUCGGGAGCUGGCCGGAGUGCCGCUGAGGCGAUCCCGGCGGUUCCAAGGCCAUGGCUGACCACGCGCAACUGGGUUGCAAAGCCUGGCGGGCCUCGGUCUCUAAAGCAGCCACGCCAGGCAAACGUGCGAUGAAAGGAUCCUUUCAGCCCACCUACAAACCCAGGAACCCAGGGUUGCUGGAGCAGUGAGGAAAUUCCUGCUGUCUCGAAUCCCUAGCGCCCUUACGAGACUCGGAGCCCACAAUGCCCAUUUUACAGAAGUGAUUAGUCGGAGGCUAGAGCGGUAUAGUGAGUUGCUCAAGUUCAACGCCAGUUGAGUGGCCACAGUCGGGACUGGAAUCCCCAAUUAAGUGUGUCUGGAUCCUUGGUCCACAGUCCCUCUGCCCCCAGCAAGGAUCGCUGGUCCCUCUGUCUCCCGCGCGCCCAGGAGCCAUCCCGCUACUAGCCUCCGACUUCCCUCGCCAAGAAUGCGAAAACUAUCAUAGCUCUCACCAGCAUCAUUUAAAAGGUUUCCACAUGCUUGGAAUCUGUUGCUUGAAAACAAAUUCCCUGUGUGCGUUGGCUUUCUAACCCCUCCUAAGGCAUCUGGUCCCCCUCCACCCUCUAAGCCCUUGCCGUCGCAGAGUGAGGCUGCCUAAGGGCUGUAGCUUGACCACAUCCCGGGGGUGCCCUUGGGCCUCUGCGCCGGGCUCCUGCAGACUGAGGUCGCUGGUCUCUGGGCUCCAAGGCCGCCUCUACCCCGCAGAAUCCGGGAGCUGGAAGGGAGCCCGCGGUUUGGCGAGGUCGCCGUUCGGGCUCACGGCCUCGAGGCUGCCCUCUGCUGGCACUGGGCGACAUUACCACCGCCUCCCUCGGCGGCUCAGGAGCUGCACCCACGUGAGGGGUUCGCGCAGAGCCAGGCGACCCCAUUCUCACUGGGUCCCCAGAGUGGCUGCCGCACCUGCAGCCACUGACGAGACCCUCCCGUAUUUCUCAAUCCGAGACUUCUCCCCGCAGACACCAGAGGCUCCGGUGCUCGGACCCAGGGACAAGGCAGAGAGCCGGAGCUCUGCGCUGGCAAUCCCGCCGCUUUGCGGCGCCCGCCGGGAUCCGCGGCCAACCAGGCACGGCCACAGGCGGACGCUGGGGGACUCCGGGGAUGGCCCCAGGCUGUGUUCGUCCCCUUUACUCUCCGCCACCAUAGCAUUGAUUGGCGCCCACGGGUCCCGAUCUACCUGCCCUCCCCUUUUCAACCUUACUUGAUGGUGGCCCAGGCGCUUGGCUGCCUCUGUUUCUUGUAGUGCACUUGUCUCUCCAACCAAAUUAAGAGCGCCUCGACGACCGGAAGGGGCUGCUCCCUACCCGCACGGCACAGGCCUAGCUCAGGUUCUGCCGAGACAGAACUGAUUCCAGAGGCCCCCAUUCUUGCCCUUGAAAUAAACUUUAGGCAGUGAGGCGAAGAGACACUUCUGCCUGCUGCAUCCAUUCUAGACAGGGUGGGGUAAAAAUUACUCAGUCAUCAUAUCUAUGCAUUUCCAGUGCUAUGUAUUAGGACUUUAACAUUUUCACUUUUCCCCUCACAAAGAUAAUUGAAACUGAAGAAAAUUGGGAAAAUAAAACAUUAAAAUGCACAAAAAACACCAACGCGACAAUAAUCCCAUCCCUCCUCCCACAAGGUAACCAUGGUUAACAUUUCGAUGGCAUCUUUCCAGUCUUUUAUUUAUAUAUUUCAAUUAAAAUAAGCCUAAUUUCCAUAAUUAACAAAUAUACAUAAAAUUUGCAGUUUUGUAUCCUGCUUGUUUAAACCUUUCGCCAUAGGGUUUUUCUCCAUAUCUUAUUCUUUGAAAAAUGAUUUUCAAUUAUUGCUUAAUAAUCCAUCCUUUGGAUGAACCAUAAUUUUGUUAUACACCAGCACCAAUUAUCUGUUUUAGGCCCAGGAAAGUCUCCUUAAGCCACACUCUCUGGAUCCGUCUGGAUCAGUUAAUAUAUAAUCAUAUAAUCAGUAGUUGAUCAAUAAAUGUUGAGCCUUUCUUUU